UGCACCAGAAGCAGGUAGCUUAACCUUCGGGAGGGCGCUUGCCACGGUGUGGCCGAUGACUGGGGUGAAGUCGUAACAAGGUAGCCGUAUCGGAAGGUGCGGCUGGAUCACCUCCUUUUGAGC
This 123-nucleotide ribosomal RNA is filed under the name Stenotrophomonas maltophilia. RNAcentral describes it as "partial 16S ribosomal RNA". It matches the Rfam family "Bacterial small subunit ribosomal RNA", at positions 1416 to 1533 of the family's 1533-position model. The record is from RNAcentral. Lineage: Bacteria; Pseudomonadati; Pseudomonadota; Gammaproteobacteria; Lysobacterales; Lysobacteraceae.